CAUCCCCUUCACAAAGAAAAACCAGUGAUAGAGACACUGACAAAAAGUCAAUUGAUUGGAAUCAUUAAAUUCAUUCCUACUCAGAGGAAGCUGCUUUGAUCCUUGUUCGACACGGUGAGUCCUUGUGGAAUGAAAAAAACUUGUUCACAGGUUGUGUUGAUGUCCCCCUCAGCAAGAAGGGCAUCGAUGAGGCAAUUGAAGCAGGC
This 206-nucleotide small RNA is filed under the name Vigna angularis var. angularis. Its description in RNAcentral is "Non-protein coding transcript". The record is from RNAcentral. Lineage: Eukaryota; Viridiplantae; Streptophyta; Magnoliopsida; Fabales; Fabaceae.